AUUGAUCGCUUUCUUUUACACUAUUAAUGCUAAUUGUUUUUCAUGGUGCAUGCCUUUGGGAUUCAUCAAAAUGAAUUCUUAACGAAUUUCCAAACACAAAAAUUAUAGCAGAAUAACGGAUAGAAGUAAAUCAUCCUACCAUUUCUCAAAGGCCUUCUGUUCUGAAGGGCCCGGGCAGUAUGAGGUGGAAUCACGAGUGUCUGUAAGGUUUGAGAUAUCGAUGUGAACAGCCAUAGGUGAGUGUGUGGACAUUACAACUGGCUACAGUGUUUGAGCACCUACUGUGUGCCAGGUCCUGGGCUAAGACAUUUACAAACGUUGUUUCAUUGAAUCCUCACAACAGUGCCAAGGUCAGUUUUAUUAUUCCCACUUUAUUUACUAAGAAACUGAGACCCAAAGAGGUUUCUACAUCUAUCGAGUGGAAGAGCCCAAGUACGAGUCCAGUUCUAUUUGUCUCUGAAGUGCAUGUACUUUCCGCUUGGCCACUCUCCAUGCUGAGCUGCUAUCAACAUUGCUGCAAUCAGUUCAUUCCAGGGAACUUUAUCACUAUUUCUGCCUGUCUGUCUGACUCAGCAUUAACCUUGAGCCUUCCUGCCAAAGGAGCUCCAGUCACAGCACACACCUCACGCCUUGGUCAGUCCCCUCUAGGCCAUCAGAUCAGUCAAAAGUCAUCGCUGUGCCCUCUUGUCUCUCUUGGCAAGACUACUGCUUGUCUCCCCUUAUUCCUCAGUAAUAACAUUUUAGCUUGACACGUGGCUCUAGCUAAAGACUACAUUUCCCAGAAUUCCUUGCAGCUAGGCACAGACUUAUGACUAAUAGGAAGUGAACAGACUUGAUGUGUGCCAAAUGUGGGUUCUGCCUUUAAAGAAAGAAAAAGUGCUUCUUCCCAUCUUCUUUCCAUCUUCCUGCUGUCUGGGAUUCAGGUAUGAUGGUGGGAGUUGAAGCAGCCAUCUCUAACCAUGAGACAGAAACUGCGUGGUGAGGAUAACAAAGCAAUAAGCUAGAAGGAGCCUGGGUCCCUAAUGCUAGGAGGUGCCAUCCCAGCCCUGAACUGCAUGCCUGGACUUGUCUGUGAGAGAAAAUUAAAUACCUUUCUUGUGUUUAAGAAACUAUUAUUUCCAUCCUCUGUUAUAGUAGCCAACUUUAUCCCAACUAAUGUAGCUGCCCAAGACAGUGCUGAUGGAUGUGGCAGGCUGAAUAAUGAACCACCAACGAUGUCCAUGUCCUAAUCUCCAGCACCUGUGAAUAUGUUACUUUACGUGGUAAAAGGGAUGUUGUAGACGUGAUUAAUUUAAGCAUCUUGAGAUGGCAAGUUUAUCUCGGGUUAUCCCAGUGGACUUAAUGUUUGUUUGUUUGUUUGUUUGUUUGAGGAAGAUUAGCCCUGAGCUAACAUCUGCCAAUCCUCCUCUUUUUGCUGAGGAAGGCUGGCCCUGAGCUAACAUCCGUGCCCAUCUUCCUCUACUUUAUAUGUGGGACGCCUGCCACAGCAUGGCUUGCCAAGCGGUGCCAUGUCCACACCCGAGAUCCGAACCAGCGAACCCCGGGCCACCAAAGCGGAACGUGCGCACUUAACCACUGCGCCACCGGACUGGCCCCCACUGGACUCAAUGUAAUCACAAGAGUCCUUACAACAGGGAGGCAUGGGUCAGAUAUAUAGCAAGAAAGCAGCGUGACAAGAGAAGCAGAGGGAAGCAGAGUCAGAGAGAAAAGAUGGUACGUCACCAGCUUUGAAGAUGGAGGAAGCGACCACAAGCCAAGGAAUGCAAGCAGCCUCUAGAAGCCAGAAAAGGCAAAGAAAGAGAUCCUCCAGAGAGCCUCAAGAAGGAACACAGGAUGUUUGCAUAAUCUCAAAGCAUCUCUCUACAAGAUCCUCAUUAAUUACAAAGGAGAAAGUAUUAGUUCCAUAGUUUACAGUGGAGACACCACCUUUAUCAAGUGACAUCACCAGGAAUGACACCUUGACUUCAUGCUCAUCCCAAUACCUUGCACUCAGAAGGACACCACAUCACUGCUAUAGGAUUCGUGCAAAAAUGCAUGCUCUGAAUUUGAUCAUGGGGAAACAUCCGAUAAAGCUAAAUUUGAGACAGUCCACUAAAUAACCAGCCUGUACUCUUCAAAAGUGCCACAGCCAUGAAAGACAGAGGAAGCCCAAGGACCUGUCACCGAUGAGAAGAGCCGAAAGCAGCAUCACAACUAAAGAAACUGGACCAGAUCCUGGGCCAGGAAAAGAACCCUCUCCAGGUGGUGGCAUUAGCUAUAUUUACUGGUGAGGACACUGGGGUCAAGGAGGUAACCUGUGGAGAGACCUGAGCUCAGCCAGGAUGGAGUCAACAGCCCUGCUCUGGGGCACUCUGGUUCCCUCCACCUGGCCCCCACCCAUGACUGCCCAGCGCACACAGCAUCAUCAAGGAUCAGAGAUAACCUGAGGCCCGGCCAGCCCCUGCUCUUGCCCGCGAGUCCACCCUUCCUAAGGCUGAAACAGGGCCCCUCCUCUGCCGCCUACGAAUAGUGUUGAACAGUGCAUGAGAAAAAAAACGCACUGGGGAGCGAAAAGGGAUGUCUACACCGUUCCUAGUCAGCCAGGAGUUUAAUUCACCAGGGACUUUGAAUCCAUGUGAUUCUGGUUAUAAAUGGGUUGGCUUCAGCUCCCGAUCUACGAGAGAACUGUUGAGAAACAGCACUGAACUGAGAGUGAGGACAUUUGGGUUCUGAACUGAGAUUUUCAGGGGUUUUUGGUGCUGGUUUCCAGGGCUGACUUGGUUACCUGUUUCCUGG
Molecule: long non-coding RNA, 2775 nt
Organism: Equus caballus (horse)
Lineage: Eukaryota; Metazoa; Chordata; Mammalia; Perissodactyla; Equidae
Source: Ensembl